RNAcentral lists this small nuclear RNA (112 nucleotides) under Melitaea cinxia (Glanville fritillary). Its description in RNAcentral is "misc RNA ENSMCXG00005023195.1". It matches the Rfam family "U5 spliceosomal RNA". Rfam says of the family: U5 RNA is a component of both types of known spliceosome. The precise function of this molecule is unknown, though it is known that the 5' loop is required for splice site selection and p220 binding, and that both the 3' stem-loop and the Sm site are important for Sm protein binding and cap methylation. The record is from RNAcentral. Lineage: Eukaryota; Metazoa; Arthropoda; Insecta; Lepidoptera; Nymphalidae.
UUACUCUGUUUCCGUUCAAAACGCAUAAAUAUUUUGCCUUUUACUAAAGAUUUUCGUGGAUCAAUCAAUGACUCAAUCAAUCCAAAUUUCUGUAAUUUUAGUAAUCUCAAUU